This 75-nucleotide transfer RNA is filed under the name Marmota monax (woodchuck). Its description in RNAcentral is "tRNA.Val". The record is from RNAcentral. Lineage: Eukaryota; Metazoa; Chordata; Mammalia; Rodentia; Sciuridae.
GUGGGGAAUACAGCUCAGUUGGUAGAGUGCUUGCCUCACAUGUGCCAGGCCCUGGGUUCAAUCCCCAGCACCACG